This 646-nucleotide ribosomal RNA is filed under the name Polycanthagyna melanictera. RNAcentral's name for it is "partial 16S ribosomal RNA". The stretch from base 7 to 400 matches the Rfam family "Bacterial large subunit ribosomal RNA", at positions 2049 to 2651 of the family's 2925-position model. The record is from RNAcentral. Lineage: Eukaryota; Metazoa; Arthropoda; Insecta; Odonata; Aeshnidae.
UAAUUUUUUAGUUAAAAAGCUAAAAUAUUAUUGGAAGACGAGAAGACCCUAUAGAGCUUUAUAUUUUUAUUAUUAAUUUAUUAUAGUUUAUUAUUAUUUAUUAUUAAUGAAAAUUAUUUUGUUGGGGUGACAAAAAUAUAUAAUUAACUUUUUUAUUUUAUUUACAUUGAUAUAUGAAUAUUAGAUCCAAUCUUAUUGAUUGUUAGAUUAAGUUACCUUAGGGAUAACAGCGUAAUCCCUCCCCAGAGUUCAUAUUUACGGAGGGGCUUGCGACCUCGAUGUUGGAUUAAGAUAAUAAUUAGGUGCAGCCGCUUAAUUAAUAGGUCUGUUCGACCUUUAAAUUCUUACAUGAUCUGAGUUCAAACCGGUUUAAGCCAGGUUGGUUUCUAUCUCCAAUAUUUUAUUUAAUUUUUAGUACGAAAGGACCAAAAUUAAGAAAAAUUUUUUUAUCUUUGAUUAAUAUUAAUUAUUUUGGCAGAAAAGUGCCAUGGAUUUAGAAUCCAUAAAUGUAAGAUAUUUCUUACAAAUAUUACUUGCAGUUUAAUGAUUUUUUAUUUGAAAUAUUAAGAGGAUUAAUUAUAUUUAUUUGUGUUUUAGUUGGUGUGGCUUUUUUAACUUUACUAGAACGUAAGGUUUUAGGGUAUAU